AGCAGCUCUACAAAGAUGUCAACAUCUGGAUCUGCAGCUACUACAGAGACCUGGUCACAGCUGGAUCACCAUGCUCAAAAAGAGGGCAAUGCCACCAUUACAGAUCACAAUAUCCUGCCCCCUUGGCUUGGCUCCUCAGAGCCUCAUGAGUAUGAAGAAGUGAGGAUGGCAAGGGGAUAUGAGGAGCUGGCACCUCGGUAUGAUAUCUGGCACCCUAAGGAGGAACCACAGGUUCACGAAUAUGCAGUGAGUACCUGGAAACUCUUUCCUUGGGCCGAGGAAGGGGAGGCAUCAUUUCUGUUUCCCUUUCCAUUCUGUCUCCCUUGUGUGUUUCAUACCAUGCUCUCUUUAUAUUCAAAUAAUGAAUUGCUGCUGUCAUAUACAUUACGCAAAACAAUUUAUCCAUUGGAGUCUAGCUUAUUUUAACAGAGAAUAUAUUAGAGGAAGGAUGACUGUAGCUACCUAGAAUCAUGAACCUUCCUGAUAAUGCUGGCGCCUUGUAGCUUUCUUUCUUUCUUUUUUUUUAAAAAAAUAAUUUUUAUUAUGAUUUUCAAGACUUUACAGCAGGGGUCCCCAAACUUUUUAAACAGGGGGCCAGUUCACGGUCCCUCAGACCGUUGGAGGGCCGGACUAUAGUUUUUUAAAGAACAAUGAACAAAUACCUAUGCACACUGCACAUGCCUUAUUUUGAAGUAAAAACAAAAACAAAAAUGAAUAAAUACAGCCUCAAUGUUAAUCAUAAUCAUAAUAAAAUAAUAAAGAGGGUUGGAAGACACCACUUGGGCCAUUAAGUCCUGUCCAACCCCCUUCUGCCUUUGUGCACUAAAAGCACAAGCAAAGCACCCCUGACAGAUGGCCACCCAGCCUCAAUGUUGUUAAUAGUAAUAGUGGGAAGUGUUUGACUUGUGAUUUUGUGAUACGAAAUCCUGCAUAUAUAUCUCAUUUGCUGUAUUAUAUUGUGUCUUUGUGUCAAUAAUGCAGUAGAGUCUCACUUAUCCAAGCUUCACUUAUCCAAUGUUCUGGAUUAUCCAAGGCAGUCUGCCUUUUAGUAGUCAAUGUAGUAAAUGUUGCAAUGUUUUGGUGCUAAAUUCAUAAAUACAGUAAUUACUACAUAACAUUACUGUGUAUUGAACUGCUUUUUCUGCCAAUUUGUUGUAAAAAAUGAUGUUUUGAUGCUUGAUUUGUAAAAUCAUAAUGUCAUUUUAUUUUUAAUAGCCUUUUUUCUUAAUCUCUCCUUAUUAUCCAACAUUUUCGCUUAUCCAAGGUUCUGCCAGCCCGUUUAUCAUGGAUAAGUGAGACUCUACUAACUAUCUAAUCUUCAUAUAUCAUAAACUUCUGCAAAUAGAUUACAUUUUCCUCUAUCUAUAUAGGAUCCGUACUUCAUACUAUUAUUAAUUUAUUUUUCAUCCAUCUUUAGAUAAUUCUCCAGCAUAGUCCAGUCCGUCUUUUUAAUUCCCUUUCCAUUGCUCUGCUUCAUCAGAUAUGUCAAUUUAUCCAUGUCCUUUAUUUCCAUGAUUUUAUCAAUCCAUUGUAUCUUGGUAGGGAUUAGAUCUUGUUUCCAAAGUUUAGCGAACACUAUCCUAGCUGCCGUCACUAAGAAUGUAAACAACUUGUCUGUGUUUAAAUCCCCAAAACGAUCAAAAUCAAACAUGCCUAAUAGAUAAAUUUCAGGUUUCAUUGGGAAAUCUUUUUUAAGUAUUUUUUUUUACAUUUGGUAUGUAUUAAUCUCCAAAAUUGAAUUGUUUUCUCACAAGACCACCACAUGUGGUAGAAUGUGCCUUCAUGUAAUUUACACUUCCAACAUUUUUGAUCAACAUUUUUAUACAUUAUUCCUAAUUUUUUGGGUGUAAUAUACCAACAAUGUAGCAUCUCUUUGUAACUUUCUUUCAUACUGCAUUAUUAUAGCAUUUUGACAUUAUUUAACUGUGGGAUUCUUAGGCUGGUGAAGCACUAGAGCUCUGUGGCAUGAAUUUUAAAUAGCUCUCCCUAAACUGCAAAUUGCAGGAUUCCACUGAUGUUGCUGUGACAGUUAAAGUGAAAUGUUUACAUUUUAACUGUGAAUUAUGAAAGGGGGUUAUCCCAAAGAUGACACUUUGAACCUUCUGAAUGCCAGAUAUGUUCUCAAUCCUUGAAUGCCAUCCACUCUCCAAGACUCAGUUCCUAGAUACCUUACUGACAGAUAUAGAAAAAGUUUGUGGCUAUCUAACCAGCUAUUUGAACCAUGGUCAAAUGGGGAGCACGGGGGCUAUAGUCCUGACAAUUUGGAAAGUCCCAAGGUUUCCCUUAUCCUUGCAAUAGGGCUAAAUCAGGUGGUUCCCAAACUUAUUUGGCCUACCCGCCCCCUUUCCAGAAAAAAAUAUUACUCAGCGCCCCCUGGAAAGGGGGGCGUGGCUUAGAGGGGUGGGCGUGGCUCCUGCUCAAGCGGGCGGGGCUGAGCCUCUUCCCCUAGUCCAAGAUGCAGGGCUGCGAGGGGGAGGGGGGUGGGCGGGGCCACAAAUGGGUGGCCAGGACUGGGAUGGGCGGAGUUACGAGCUCUGAGGCAGGGCUGAGCUUCUAUCCCUGUCCUGCAGUGCCUGCCAGGAUACAGGGGGUGGGGUUAGAGGAGGGGCGGGGCCUCUUCCCAAAUUCCCGAUGAGGCUGAACCUCUAUACCCCACCCACGUGUUCUAAAAAG
This 2673-nucleotide long non-coding RNA is filed under the name Anolis carolinensis (green anole). RNAcentral describes it as "lncRNA (ENSACAG00000036006.1)". Lineage: Eukaryota; Metazoa; Chordata; Lepidosauria; Squamata; Anolidae. The record is from RNAcentral.